CUUGGCCUUGUCAUUCCCUGGCUCGGUGCCUCAGUUUCCAUUCUCGCCAGCCUCUGCCUAGUUCCCUGCAGUUUCAUGACUGUGUUGGUGCCAGUCCCACCCCCGCGCUGCACAGUCCUAUACCGGCUCCUCUCUCUUGCCAGCACUCUGACACCUGCCCUUGAGCCAGAGCUAGAGACCCACCUCCUUCGAGCUGCCGUCUUCACCCUGGGCACCCAGAAGGACACCACCCAAGUCCAGGAUCUGCAUAGGGUCUUGCCAGACCUCGUGGAUGCCAUUCUGGGGAACCUGCUUGCAGAGCCUCCAAGACACCGACAGGCUCCACUACAUUUUGAGAGUGAGCCCGAUUAGAGCACAUUAACUACUGGAUCGUGUCCAGGGUGUCGCAGGAGAGAGCCAGGGCCAUUAGGAGCAACACGGCCCUGCUCAGAUUCACCAUCACCCUCCUUGAUUUUGACGGCUGACCAUCCAGGAGGCCGAAGAGCUGUGGUAUUGGAACAGCAGGCUCCUGAGCUACAGGAACACAGCCUGGGUGGGGGAGGUCUUCGGGAAGUUCUUCUCGGAGGGGCAGAGAAGAUUCUUCCUCCAUUCGGACGGCAGUGCUGGCCAUCCACGACCCCCUGCUUUGGGUCAGCCAGGCUGGGCAGCUCCUCACCUGCUCCCUCCUGGGGGAAGCCCAGCAGCUGAUGGGGGACAAGCAGGAGGAUGUCACGGCCAAAGUGAUGUGCCAGGUGCCUGAGGCCACCAGGAACUCUCGCCUGCUCCCUGCUGCAGGUACUGCUCUGGCUCACUGUAAAUGGGGAGCUAGUGGAAGGGGAAAUGGAGCCCCCUGGGACUCACU
This is a long non-coding RNA of Mauremys mutica (yellowpond turtle), 841 nucleotides long. RefSeq lists it as uncharacterized. The record is from RefSeq and is a predicted model, not a curated record. The transcript has 6 exons. NCBI's taxonomy places the organism in Eukaryota, Metazoa, Chordata, Testudines, Geoemydidae.